Non-coding RNA from Vicia faba (fava bean), 255 nucleotides. NCBI's taxonomy places the organism in Eukaryota, Viridiplantae, Streptophyta, Magnoliopsida, Fabales, Fabaceae. The record is from the annotation of a GenBank genome assembly.
AUGAAAUCUACACAACUUUAUAUACAUCCUAAAAUGGUACCAAAUACACAACAUAUUUCUCAAGUUUGCAACAUUGUGACAAGGGCAUUGAAUUCCACAAGUUCAGGACAACUAAGCCAACAAACUAAACAAGUUAAAAAAAUUCCAAAGUCACUUCCCGCCAAAUGGAUUCGAGAACAAAUGAAAAACCAUGCUAUAUUUUCCUAUCUUAAAUCAUGUCUUAUCACAAACCAUUCAAUAUUCUUUCUUAAUUAA